RNAcentral lists this ribosomal RNA (348 nucleotides) under Scymnus folchinii. RNAcentral's name for it is "partial large subunit ribosomal RNA". Lineage: Eukaryota; Metazoa; Arthropoda; Insecta; Coleoptera; Coccinellidae. The record is from RNAcentral.
AGUAGGGCCUGCCCACUGAGUUUUUGAAGGGCCGCAGUAUCUUAACUGUGCAAAGGUAGCAUAAUCAUUAGUUUUUUAAUUGAAAGCUGGAAUGAAUGGUUUGAUGAAAAAAUAGCUGUUUCAAUUUUAAUUUUUUAAAAUUUUAUUUUUAAGUAAAAAAGCUUAAAUGAUAAUAAAAGACGAGAAGACCCUAUAGAGUUUAAUUUAUUUUAUAAUAUUAUUAUUAAGUUUUUAAUUAUUAGUAUUAUAAAAUAAAUUUGAUUGGGGUGAUUGAAAAAUUAAAAUAACUUUUUUUAUAUUUUUACAUUUAUUUAUGAAUUUAUGAUCCAUAAAAAUGAUUAAAAGAUU